GACGAACGCUGGCGGCGUGCUUAACACAUGCAAGUCGAACGGAAAGGCCUCUUUCGGGGGGUACUCGAGUGGCGAACGGGUGAGUAACACGUGAGUAACCUGCCCUUGACUUUGGGAUAACUUCAGUAAACUGGGGCUAAUGCCGGAUAGGAUCUCCUGCUGCAUGGUGGGGGUUGGAAAGUUUCGGCGGUUGGGGUUGGACUCGCGGCUUAUCAGCUUGUUGGUGGGGUAGUGGCUUACCAAGGCUUUGACGGGUAGCCGGCCUGAGAGGGUGACCGGCCACAUUGGGACUGAGAUACGGCCCAGACUCCUACGGGAGGCAGCAGUGGGGAAUAUUGCACAAUGGGUGGAAGCCUGAUGCAGCAACGCCGUGUGCGGGAUGACGGCCUUCGGGUUGUAAACCGCUGUAGCUCAUGACGAAGCUUUGUGUGACGGUAGUGGGUAAAGAAGCACCGGCUAACUACGUG
Molecule: ribosomal RNA, 467 nt
Filed under: uncultured bacterium
Lineage: Bacteria
Description: partial 16S ribosomal RNA
Rfam family: Bacterial small subunit ribosomal RNA
Source: RNAcentral